RNAcentral lists this ribosomal RNA (1290 nucleotides) under uncultured bacterium. Its description in RNAcentral is "partial 16S ribosomal RNA". It matches the Rfam family "Bacterial small subunit ribosomal RNA", at positions 89 to 1399 of the family's 1533-position model. The record is from RNAcentral.
GGAUUAGCGGCGGACGGGUGAGUAACACGUGGGUAACCUGCCCUAUAGAGAGGGAUAGCCUUCCGAAAGGGAGAUUAAUACCUCAUAAUAUCCUAGUAUCGCAUGAUACAUGGAUUAAAGGAGCAAUCCGCUAUAGGAUGGACCCGCGGCGCAUUAGCUAGUUGGUGAGGUAACGGCUCACCAAGGCGACGAUGCGUAGCCGACCUGAGAGGGUGAUCGGCCACAUUGGGACUGAGACACGGUCCAGACUCCUACGGGAGGCAGCAGUGGGGAAUAUUGCACAAUGGGCUAAAGCCUGAUGCAGCAACGCCGCGUGAGCGAUGAAGGCCUUCGGGUCGUAAAGCUCUGUCCUCAAGGAAGAUAAUGACGGUACUUGAGGAGGAAGCCCCGGCUAACUACGUGCCAGCAGCCGCGGUAAUACGUAGGGGGCUAGCGUUAUCCGGAAUUACUGGGCGUAAAGGGUGCGUAGGCGGUCUUUCAAGCCAGAAGUGAAAGGCUACGGCUCAACCGUAGUAAGCUUUUGGAACUGUAAGACUUGAGUGCAGGAGAGGAGAGUGGAAUUCCUAGUGUAGCGGUGAAAUGCGUAGAUAUUAGGAGGAACACCAGUAGCGAAGGCGGCUCUCUGGACUGUAACUGACGCUGAGGCACGAAAGCGUGGGGAGCAAACAGGAUUAGAUACCCUGGUAGUCCACGCCGUAAACGAUGAGUACUAGGUGUCGGGGGUUACCCCCCUCGGUGCCGCAGCUAACGCAUUAAGUACUCCGCCUGGGAAGGACGGUCGCAAGAUUAAAACUCAAAGGAAUUGACGGGGACCCGCACAAGCAGCGGAGCAUGUGGUUUAAUUCGAAGCAACGCGAAGAACCUUACCUACACUUGACAUCCCUUGCAUUACCCUUAAUCGGGGAAAUCUCUUCGGAGACAAGGUGACAGGUGGUGCAUGGUUGUCGUCAGCUCGUGUCGUGAGAUGUUGGGUUAAGUCCCGCAACGAGCGCAACCCCUAUUGUUAGUUGCUACCAUUAAGUUGAGCACUCUAGCGAGACUGCCUGGGUUAACCAGGAGGAAGGUGGGGAUGACGUCAAAUCAUCAUGCCCCUUAUGUGUAGGGCUACACACGUGCUACAAUGGCAAGUACAGAGAGACGCAAAACCGUGAGGUCGAGCAAAUCCCUUAAAACUUGUCCCAGUUCGGAUUGUAGGCUGAAACUCGCCUACAUGAAGCCGGAGUUGCUAGUAAUCGCGAAUCAGAAUGUCGCGGUGAAUACGUUCCCGGGUCUUGUACUCACCGCCCGUCA